GUAUAGAUGCAGUGACUGAGACUGGGAGAUGCAGUGACUGAAACCUGGUGUGUUCCAGAAAAAGGUCCUGAAACUACUGGUCGACAUCCGCCAUCGCCUGAAGGAAACCAGAAGGGGUCAUGAAAUUCGGUUCCACAGCCACUGAGGUGUAUGUACAUCAAGGUGAACCU
This is a non-coding RNA of Pimephales promelas (fathead minnow), 170 nucleotides long. Lineage: Eukaryota; Metazoa; Chordata; Actinopteri; Cypriniformes; Leuciscidae. The record is from RefSeq and is a predicted model, not a curated record.